Molecule: ribosomal RNA, 547 nt
Filed under: uncultured bacterium
Lineage: Bacteria
Description: bacterial SSU rRNA
Rfam family: Bacterial small subunit ribosomal RNA
Source: RNAcentral
AAAUAGAUACCCCGGGGUAGUCCACACCGUAAACGUUGGGCACUAGGUGUGGGGAGGAAUCAACCCUUUCCGUGCCGUAGCUAACGCAUUAAGUGCCCCGCCUGGGGAGUACGGCCGCAAGGCUAAAACUCAAAGGAAUUGACGGGGGGCCCGCACAAGCGGCGGAGCAUGUUGCUUAAUUCGAGGCAACGCGAAGAACCUUACCUAGGUUGAACUACGCAGGAACAGCCACAGAGAUGUGGUGUCCUUCGGGGCCUGCGAUAGGUGGUGCAUGGCUGUCGUCAGCUCGUGUCGUGAGAUGUUGGGUUAAGUCCCGCAACGAGCGCAACCCUUAUCCUAUGUUGCCAGCACGUAAUGGUGGGGACUCGUGGGAGACCGCCGGGGUCAACUCGGAGGAAGGUGGGGACGACGUCAAGUCAUCAUGCCCCUUAUGUCUAGGGCUGCAAACAUGCUACAAUGGCUGGUACAAAGGGCUGCGAAACCGCGAGGUCGAGCGAAUCCCAAAAAGGCCAGUCUCAGUUCGGAUUGAAGUCUGCAACUCGACUUC